Long non-coding RNA from Rhinichthys klamathensis goyatoka, 228 nucleotides. RefSeq lists it as uncharacterized. NCBI's taxonomy places the organism in Eukaryota, Metazoa, Chordata, Actinopteri, Cypriniformes, Leuciscidae. The transcript has 3 exons. The record is from RefSeq and is a predicted model, not a curated record.
UAUAAUGGGAAUUUACAGAGCAGAACCAGUGAGAUGAAGAACAACAAGCAAACACUCAAUCCCACACACACACCAACGGCCAGAUGAGAAGAUGAAGCUGUUGAGACUGAAGAACAUGACAAACACACAGAUCUGUCCGAGUAGAAACCCUCAUGUGACUUUGAGACAGUAGUGAUGCUCAUCUCUCCUGUCGUCUGAUUCUGGAUCAGUGAUCCGUCUUUAUAGAAA